UCCUUGUUAGCUCAGUUGGUAGAGCGUUCGGCUUUUAAGAGACUUUAUCUUAAAGCAAGGAUACCGAAAUGUCAGGGGUUCGAGCCCCCUAUGAGGAG
This 98-nucleotide transfer RNA is filed under the name Naumovozyma castellii. RNAcentral's name for it is "tRNA-Lys". It matches the Rfam family "tRNA". Rfam says of the family: Transfer RNA (tRNA) molecules are approximately 80 nucleotides in length. The record is from RNAcentral. Lineage: Eukaryota; Fungi; Ascomycota; Saccharomycetes; Saccharomycetales; Saccharomycetaceae.